This 165-nucleotide ribosomal RNA is filed under the name Malus toringoides. RNAcentral describes it as "5.8S ribosomal RNA". The stretch from base 3 to 150 matches the Rfam family "5.8S ribosomal RNA". Rfam says of the family: 5.8S ribosomal RNA (5.8S rRNA) is a component of the large subunit of the eukaryotic ribosome. It is transcribed by RNA polymerase I as part of the 45S precursor that also contains 18S and 28S rRNA. Functionally, it is thought that 5.8S rRNA may be involved in ribosome translocation. The record is from RNAcentral. Lineage: Eukaryota; Viridiplantae; Streptophyta; Magnoliopsida; Rosales; Rosaceae.
CGGCAACGGAUAUCUCGGCUCUCGCAUCGAUGAAGAACGUAGCGAAAUGCGAUACUUGGUGUGAAUUGCAGAAUCCCGUGAACCAUCGAGUCUUUGAACGCAAGUUGCGCCCGAAGCCACCAGGCCGAGGGCACGCCUGCCUGGGCGUCACACGCCGUUGCCCCC